AUAAGUUUCUCUUGUUUCCAUUUUGACUUUAUUUCUCUCGGUUUCUAUUUUCCUCUUCAGCUUGUCUUCUACCUUCUCGAUUUCGUCUUCUCUCUUUCUUGUUCUUCACCUUUGUUCUCCUCUAUCUUCUUUCUUCAAUGACUACAGCUUCGUUCUCCAGCUCUCUGUUCCUCUUCUCUCUUCUCUCUUCUCUGGCUCUCCAUUCCUCUUUCACCUUCGUUCUCUGGCUAAAGGUUACCUACUCCUUGAAUUGGAAGUAUAAUUGAAUCACGUGAGGGUAAGUGAAGAUAUUUAUGCUUAUUUGUUAUUUUAUCUUUUGCUAUUGAAAAUUAGAGUUAUAUUGACUUGGAGUUCUUCAUUCAAACAUCACACACACAAUGUUAGCUUGAACGAAUGAAAUUUGUCUACAGUGUAUUGUUUUCACUAGUGAAUUCACUACAACAAAAAAGUAUCUAUUUUACAUCCCAAAAUUGAAAGGAGAAAAAAAAAACUGUCCCAAAAGAUAAAAAUUCGCGUUUUUUGGCGGAAACAGAUGAAAGUUUUCAGAUUCUACUUUUUGCCACAAUUAUUCGUUGUCAUCAAAGAUGCAGAAAAUUUUUUAUUAAACUAAAGUUUCCACCUAUUCUUAAACCCAGCUCACGCAAAUGAAAAUUCCAAACCCUCACAUGAUUUCGAUCAUCUCCGACCAUCAAUCUGAAUGGUGAGUGGAUUGUGUCUGCUGACGUGUCUGGGAUUGUGAGGAUUUGGGCACUCAUACUAAGUUCAUGCUCAAGGAGUUUAAGGUUUUGUCUGGGCUGAUCGAUGAUUUGCAAUUGUCUCCUGAUGGAAUGAGGAUUGUGGCUUGUGGUGAAGUGAACGGAAAAUCGUUCGUGCGUGCUUUUAUGUGGGAUUCAGGUACGAAUGUUGGCGAGUUUGAUGGUCAUUCUAGCAGGUUUUAAGUUGUGCAUCUAAACCAACAAGACCCUUUUGCAAUGCCACUUGCGGAGAGCAUUUCCUAGUGAAUUUUUAUGAAGGACCACCAUUUAGAUUUAAGCUAUCUCUCAAGUUUGUUGAUUGUUAUUCUUUCUAAAUGCAGGUCGUCUGUACUUCCCUUCCGUAUUUAUUGAUGACAUUAUAACGAACUUCAAUUGCAUUGUGUUGGAGUCUGUUACUUUCGGAACUUAGUGCUGAUAAUGGCCAUCUGAAGCAUGAAAGUUUGUGUUACUAGUUUCUACAGUUUGCUUUUGGCUUAUAGUCUUGUCUUCUUUGUAAUUAUGUAAUAUUGAAAUAUUUUAGGCUAGGCUAUGAGAAGCUAAAAUAAUGGAUGCUGAAGCCAAAAAGUAGUAAUCUAUUCCUGCAGCUGAAGUGUGCAUGUAGAGUUGAUCAAGAAACAAAGAAGUUUUACCCCAAAAAGAAAAAUACUUAGGUGUAUCCUAGAAUUUUUUCUUUUUGUGUUUAGGGUUUAGGGACCAUUCCAAGAUGGACAUACAAUUCUUCAUUUUUUCUUUGUGUGUAAUAAGAAUGGGAUGAACAAAGAUGAGUGCACUAUUGCUCUUAAGUUUGAAAGAUAUCUGGUGACUUGUUUAUUUA
Molecule: long non-coding RNA, 1569 nt
Organism: Cucumis sativus (cucumber)
Lineage: Eukaryota; Viridiplantae; Streptophyta; Magnoliopsida; Cucurbitales; Cucurbitaceae
Exons: 3
Source: RefSeq, a predicted model, not a curated record